RNAcentral lists this non-coding RNA (148 nucleotides) under Pan troglodytes (chimpanzee). The record is from Rfam by way of RNAcentral. Lineage: Eukaryota; Metazoa; Chordata; Mammalia; Primates; Hominidae.
GCCAGGUGUGGUGGCGCAUGCCUGUAAUCUCAGCUACCCAGGAGGCUGAGGCAGGAGAAUCGCUGGAACCCGGGAGGCAGAGGCUGCAGUGAGCUGAGAUAGCACCACUGCACUCCAGCCUGGGCAACAGAGCGAGACUCUGUCUUUU